UACGUAGGGUCCGAGCGUUGUCCGGAAUUACUGGGCGUAAAGAGCUCUCAGGUGGUUUGUCGCGUUGUUCGUGAAAACUCACAGCUCAACUGUGGGCGUGCGGGCGAUACGGGCAGACUGGAGUACUGCAGGGGAGACUGGAAUUCCUGGUGUAGCGGUGGAAUGCGCAGAUAUCAGGAGGAACACCGGUGGCGAAGGCGGGUCUCUGGGCAGUAACUGACGCUGAGGAGCGAAAGCGUGGGGAGCGAACAGG
This 253-nucleotide ribosomal RNA is filed under the name uncultured bacterium. RNAcentral's name for it is "partial 16S ribosomal RNA". It matches the Rfam family "Bacterial small subunit ribosomal RNA", at positions 524 to 776 of the family's 1533-position model. The record is from RNAcentral.